AAUUUCCUUGGAUGAUUUUCUCGUUUAGAUCUCUGAUGUUAUAUAUGUUUUACGGGUGUUUGUAUCUGCAAAUGUGUGUUAGUGUGUGUGUGUGUGUGUGUGUGUAGCGUGUCAGCCACACAGUGUAUCACGCUUCAGCAGCAUCAUGCAGGCAGCACGCAGCCAGCACUGUUUCUAUGGAGCAGAGACCGCAGGCCUGAACCCAAUAGAGCUGCCGUGCGGGUCGGCAGAUGUUCCGUCUGCUUUGAACAAAGGCUGUUGAUGGCUCUGCGCUGCGUCAGGAGCUGCAUCUCCUGGGAGCCAUCUGAAAGAUGGCCGAGGUUUCGUUUGGCUGCAGCCGGACUCGCACUCACCGGGAGAGUGAGGACGCGGAUUGAAAUGAGUACCGAUGUAACAAAAAACUGCAGCGGACUUUGCUCUGUUUAUGUAAUAUUUGGACACACGGACAGAUCAGGUACUGUUGGACCACAU
Molecule: long non-coding RNA, 471 nt
Organism: Gasterosteus aculeatus aculeatus (three-spined stickleback)
Lineage: Eukaryota; Metazoa; Chordata; Actinopteri; Perciformes; Gasterosteidae
Source: Ensembl